RNAcentral lists this long non-coding RNA (1182 nucleotides) under Equus caballus (horse). RNAcentral describes it as "lncRNA (ENSECAG00000038059.2)". Lineage: Eukaryota; Metazoa; Chordata; Mammalia; Perissodactyla; Equidae. The record is from RNAcentral.
GCUUAAUAUGGUGCAAGGCAUGCAGGAGAUGCCCAGUUAAUGUUGACUGAUGGAAAUUAUAAAGCGCUAAAGGAGCAUGACACCAUUCACGAGCAUUCGUUAAGCACCAGCAAUGUGGUCUCUGAACUCAAAGCACUCAUACUACAGUACAGCAAAUACGAAAAAGAUUCAAGCUGUGUGAGGAAGGCAAGGUAGCCUGCAGUCUCAUCGCUCACAGUUCAUGAGGAAGGGAAUAGGGCAGAUGACGUUCUCAAGAUUCAAAGCCAGUGGUGGGUCCAGAAUUUCAACCCAUGCCUUCUGCCCCCAGAGCCCAUGGUGACUUAGCCAGUGCUGCCUCUCUCAGAGACUAUAGAAAUCCUGUGAAAUCUGGCAGAGGCCGAAAGAGAUGGUGGAAAGAAGAGAAGCAGUAAAGCGAAUGUCUCGCUCCCAUGUAUUUGGAGAUUAGUUACAAUUGUGUGAACAAGUUGCUGAGCAAUAAGGAAGAAAGAGUAAUUCUUCUCUCACAAAGGAAUGCUGAGCCAUCCCAGCUCAUUUAUUUAUUAAACACACACUUAAAUAAUGUUUAUUGAAUGCCAGAACAAAGAAGAUACAUUAAACACACCUCGGAUACAUUUUCAUCAAAAUUUCAGAGAUAUUCAGUUGCAAAUGAGCAGGUGAACAUGACCGUGAUGUCAGCUUGGAUAAUCAAGACAACCAUUUUUUAAAUUUCUCCUCAUCCAUGCAUUCCCCAACCAGUCCACCCAGAAUUCCAUCCUCACCACUUCACUGAAACAGCUCUCAGUUGCCCAAGCCAAUGGACAUGUUUCAGAUCCUGAGAAUACAAGACAAACGAUCAGCACUAAGCUUGAAGAACUUGUCAACUCCUGGGAAAGAGACGCAGAGGAAAGCUGCAUUCUCUCUGCCAUGGUGGAGCGAUACUGGGAAUAUGUGGCCCCUCUUGCUGUUAGAGCUGUCACAGCAUUGAUAGCCUGGGCUGAUGUGGCUGACCAGACUCAGGCUAAGUUCUGAGAUGCUUGGCUGGAAAAGAGAGAAGGGAUUGAACUGACCCUCAGAAAGUCACUGUGGAGCCAAGAGACCACACAGGAGACUGGCAGCAGGCAGAUGCCGAGGAAGGUGCCAUGGGGCAGCAGAACGGCUCACAGGACAGAGAAGUGGGACAGAUGGCGGAGCCUGAAAGAUGAC